Molecule: ribosomal RNA, 309 nt
Filed under: uncultured bacterium
Lineage: Bacteria
Description: partial 16S ribosomal RNA
Rfam family: Bacterial small subunit ribosomal RNA
Source: RNAcentral
AGAGACAGCAGUAGCCGCGGGAAUACGAAGGGGGCUAGCGUUGCUCGGAAUUACUGGGCGUAAAGGGAGCGUAGGCGGAUCGUUUAGUCAGGGGUGAAAUCCCGGGGCUCAACCUCGGAACUGCCUUUGAUACUGGCGAUCUUGAGUAUGGGAGAGGUGUGUGGAACUCCGAGUGUAGAGGUGAAAUUCGUAGAUAUUCGGAAGAACACCAGUGGCGAAGGCGACACACUGGCCCAUUACUGACGCUGAGGCUCGAAAGCGUGGGGAGCAAACAGGAUUAGAUACCCGCGUAGUCCCUGUCUCUUAUAA